Molecule: transfer RNA, 67 nt
Filed under: Marmota monax (woodchuck)
Lineage: Eukaryota; Metazoa; Chordata; Mammalia; Rodentia; Sciuridae
Description: tRNA.Ala
Rfam family: tRNA
About the family: Transfer RNA (tRNA) molecules are approximately 80 nucleotides in length. Their secondary structure includes four short double-helical elements and three loops (D, anti-codon, and T loops).
Source: RNAcentral
GGUUGUGGCUCAGUGGUAGAGCACUUGCCUAGCAUGUGUGAGGCACUGGGUUCAAUCCCUGGCACCA